AACGAACGCUGGCGGCAUGCCUAACACAUGCAAGUCGAACGAGACCUUCGGGUCUAGUGGCGCACGGGUGCGUAACGCGUGGGAACCUGCCCUUAGGUUCGGAAUAACUCCCCGAAAGGGGUGCUAAUACCGGAUAAUGUCUUCGGACCAAAGAUUUAUCGCCUUUGGAUGGGCCCGCGUUGGAUUAGCUAGUUGGUAGGGUAAAAGCCUACCAAGGCGACGAUCCAUAGCUGGUCUGAGAGGAUGAUCAGCCACACUGGGACUGAGACACGGCCCAGACUCCUACGGGAGGCAGCGGUGGGGAAUAUUGGACAAUGGGCGGAAGCCUGAUCCAGCAAUGCCGCGUGAGUGAUGAAGGCCUUAGGGUUGUAAAGCUCUUUUACCCGGGAUGAUAAUGACAGUACCGGGAGAAUAAGCUCCGGCUAACUCCGUG
This 433-nucleotide ribosomal RNA is filed under the name uncultured bacterium. Its description in RNAcentral is "partial 16S ribosomal RNA". It matches the Rfam family "Bacterial small subunit ribosomal RNA", at positions 29 to 507 of the family's 1533-position model. The record is from RNAcentral.